AUAUUUUUCUCGGUCUUUUGACUAAGAUCAAGUGUAGUAUAUGUUCUUAUCAGUUUAAUAUCUGAUAUGUGGAUCAAUGGUCCAUACAAUAUUAAAUUACUUUUUUAGGGAUGCAUGGGCCGAAGCAUACCACCA
Molecule: small nuclear RNA, 135 nt
Filed under: Medicago truncatula (barrel medic)
Lineage: Eukaryota; Viridiplantae; Streptophyta; Magnoliopsida; Fabales; Fabaceae
Description: sRNA gene8562
Rfam family: U2 spliceosomal RNA
About the family: U2 is a small nuclear RNA (snRNA) component of the spliceosome (involved in pre-mRNA splicing). Complementary binding between U2 snRNA (in an area lying towards the 5' end but 3' to hairpin I) and the branchpoint sequence (BPS) of the intron results the bulging out of an unpaired adenosine, on the BPS, which initiates a nucleophilic attack at the intronic 5' splice site, thus starting the first of two transesterification reactions that mediate splicing.
Source: Rfam by way of RNAcentral